This 497-nucleotide ribosomal RNA is filed under the name uncultured bacterium. RNAcentral's name for it is "partial 16S ribosomal RNA". It matches the Rfam family "Bacterial small subunit ribosomal RNA", at positions 28 to 507 of the family's 1533-position model. The record is from RNAcentral.
GACGAACGCUGGCGGCAUGCCUAAUACAUGCAAGUCGAACGCUGAAGCACUCUGCUUGCAGAGUGCGGAUGAGUGGCGAACGGGUGAGUAACACGUGGGAAAUCUGCCUAAAAGUGGGGGAUAACAUUCGGAAACGGAUGCUAAUACCGCAUACAUUCUUGAACCGCAUGGUUCUUGAAAGAAAGACGGCUCUGCUGUCGCUUUUAGAUGAUCCCGCGGCGUAUUAGUUAGUUGGUGGGUUAAAGGCCUACCAAGACCAUGAUACGUAGCCGACCUGAGAGGGUGAUCGGCCACACUGGGACUGAGACACGGCCCAGACUCCUACGGGAGGCAGCAGUAGGGAAUCUUCCACAAUGGGUGCAAACCUGAUGGAGCAAUGCCGCGUGAAUGAAGAAGGUCUUCGGAUCGUAAAGUUCUGUUAUUAGAGAAGAACAAGUCGAGGAGUAACUGUCUCGACUUUGACGGUACCUAAACAGAAAGUCACGGCUAACUACGUG